Molecule: ribosomal RNA, 467 nt
Filed under: uncultured bacterium
Lineage: Bacteria
Description: bacterial SSU rRNA
Rfam family: Bacterial small subunit ribosomal RNA
Source: RNAcentral
UAGGGAAUAUUGGACAAUGGGUGAGAGCCUGAUCCAGCCAUGCCGCGUGCAGGAAGAAGGCGUUAUGCGUUGUAAACUGCUUUUUGCCAGGGGAUAAAAAGACCGUGCGCGGUUAAUUGAAGGUACCUGGUGAAUAAGCCACGGCUAACUACGUGCCAGCAGCCGCGGUAAUACGUAGGUGGCAAGCGUUGUCCGGAUUUAUUGGGUUUAAAGGGUGCGUAGGCGGUUUAUUAAGUCAGUGGUGAAAGACGGUCGCUCAACGAUUGCAGUGCCAUUGAUACUGGUAGACUUGAGUAUGAUUGAGGUAGCUGGAAUGGAUAGUGUAGCGGUGAAAUGCAUAGAUAUUAUCCAGAACACCAAUUGCGUAGGCAAGUUACUAAGUCAUAACUGACGCUGAGGCACGAAAGUGCGGGGAUCAAACAGGAUUAGAUACCCAAGUAGUCCCUGAGCGGGCUGGCAAGGCGCAU